GACGAACGCUGGCGGCGUGCUUAACACAUGCAAGUCGAACGCUGAAGACCUGGCUUUUGUUGGGUUGGAUGAGUGGCGAACGGGUGAGUAACACGUGAGUAACCUGCCCUCUUCUUUGGGAUAACGCCCGGAAACGGGUGCUAAUACUGGAUAUUCACUGAUCUUCGCAUGGGGGUUGGUGGAAAGGUUUGUUCUGGUGGGGGAUGGGCUCGCGGCCUAUCAGCUUGUUGGUGGGGUGAUGGCCUACCAAGGCUUUGACGGGUAGCCGGCCUGAGAGGGUGACCGGUCACAUUGGGACUGAGAUACGGCCCAGACUCCUACGGGAGGCAGCAGUGGGGAAUAUUGCACAAUGGGCGAAAGCCUGAUGCAGCGACGCCGCGUGAGGGAUGGAGGCCUUCGGGUUGUAAACCUCUUUCGCUCAUGGUCAAGCCGCAACUGUGGGUUGUGGUGAGGGUAGUAGGUAAAGAAGCGCCGGCUAACUACGUG
Molecule: ribosomal RNA, 486 nt
Filed under: uncultured bacterium
Lineage: Bacteria
Description: partial 16S ribosomal RNA
Rfam family: Bacterial small subunit ribosomal RNA
Source: RNAcentral